CCCAAUACCCUCUCAUUCACUCACUCGUCUAUAUCUCUCUAUCUCCCACUCUCUCUGGAACCUUCCACCUCCUAUCCUCUCUGAUGAGCUCCCUUCACCAUCUACGGAUCAUCUCCGGCGUGUCUUUGCCUUAUGAGUCCAUCUCGACACGGACCAGCCCCUUUUCCAAGCCUUUCUUGUUUCUAGGGUUUCUCUGAAACCUUAUGCCAUUUCGAGGUUUUCUUGUUUCUCUCUAGAUCCACUUUAGAUCCGUGCUAUUUCUGAGGUUUUCAAAGUAUUUCUUACAUCACUUUAAGUUUCUGCGUUCAAAAUUGUUCGUCUUCUCGAACCUAGGAUUUCCUUGAUUUUUACUUGUUCUACUGUGAUUUCUUACGUUAUUUUGCUUUGUCGUAACUCUUAAGUGUUUCCACUAUUGUUUCUAUGUAUUUUUCUUUACUGUAUUUCCUCUUAGGGGUUUCCUAGCG
This 464-nucleotide long non-coding RNA is filed under the name Nicotiana benthamiana. RNAcentral describes it as "long non-coding RNA (NBEN_LNC004803)". The record is from RNAcentral. Lineage: Eukaryota; Viridiplantae; Streptophyta; Magnoliopsida; Solanales; Solanaceae.